AUCCUCAGAGCAAUAUUUUUUUUUUAAAAAAGUUAUUUAAUAAAAAUUGUAUAGGCGCUUGAAAUAAUUUUUGACAGACAAAAUAGUGAUUUGAAAAAUAAUGUCAUUACUUUUUAGAAAAAAAGGCUCUAGGAUCUGGAAGAUUAAUUUGAAAUAGCAUUAACGAUUUUAACAGGAGCCUGGCAUAAUGAAAUAACACCAC
This 202-nucleotide long non-coding RNA is filed under the name Elaeis guineensis (African oil palm). Its description in RNAcentral is "long non-coding RNA (EGUI_LNC021342)". The record is from RNAcentral. Lineage: Eukaryota; Viridiplantae; Streptophyta; Magnoliopsida; Arecales; Arecaceae.